This is a long non-coding RNA of Eubalaena glacialis (North Atlantic right whale), 125 nucleotides long. RefSeq lists it as uncharacterized. The transcript has 3 exons. NCBI's taxonomy places the organism in Eukaryota, Metazoa, Chordata, Mammalia, Artiodactyla, Balaenidae. The record is from RefSeq and is a predicted model, not a curated record.
AAAUAGAUGGCUGUCCCAAAGACCUUCACUUCCACACCAUCCCUGGAGUCUUCCUCAAGAUAAAGGCCCUCAUUCUCCUGUCUUCUGCCAGCACCCACGAAACUGCGGCAAGCUAACUUGGAACA